Molecule: long non-coding RNA, 2848 nt
Organism: Panonychus citri (citrus red mite)
Lineage: Eukaryota; Metazoa; Arthropoda; Arachnida; Trombidiformes; Tetranychidae
Exons: 3
Source: RefSeq, a predicted model, not a curated record
AUUUUUCUGGUAGAAUUUAAGUUGACAAUUAAAAUCAAUUAGUUAUUAAUCAGUUAACUGUUUAGAGAGAAGAAUUAAUCUGAUUGGGAACAAUUAAACACUCCAAAGUAAAAGAAAAUUAAACAAAUUAAAUGAUCAAAUUUCUCACUGAUUAUUACAAUUGAUUUGAUUGUUUUUCGACUGAUGAGAGAAAUAAUUUAACUAUUCAAUGAAGAUUUGACAGUUAAUUAGAAACAAUCAAUUUGAAAGUUGAAGUUAAAUCAACAAGAUGAUGGAUUAAGAAAACAAAAACCUAAUUCUUUAAGGUCAAGCCACAAAUCGUAACUGAUUUUACAACAAUUUACUGAUUACUGAUAUAAAUUAACUACUCAAUAACCUGUCAUAUCCACAAUAUAUUAACUGUUGUUCAUUUGAGAUUAAAUCAGUAAUGAACAUUUAACUGAUUAAAUGAGUUCUAAUCAGUGAUGAUUGAUUUCUCUGUGUUCAUAUUUAUGUUUCUCUCUCAGAUUAUUAUUAUGAUACAUUCAAUUAUCUCAAAUCAGAAAUGAUGAUCAGAGUGAUUGUUUCUAUUUCCAGUUAAUAUCAUGCUCAGAAUUGAUGAUUAUUAAAAAGAUUCUUGAAAUCGAUAAAGUUUCAUGUUUCAAAAAAAAAAGAUUCAAAAGGUUGAGAGAGUAAAACUUGAAAGUGGAAUAAAAAUCAAUGAUAAUCAGCUGAUGGAAGAGGAAGAAGAUGAAAAGAAAGAGAAAUUCGAAUCGUUUCUCAAAUGAUCUUAAUGAUUUAUCGUCAUCAUCAUGGUAACAACAACGAACAAGAUUAAUUCUAUUCAGUUUCCAAUUCCUGUUAACUUUUUCUUCUUCUUCUUCUUCUUGUCUGAAAGGAAAAUAAAGAGAACGAAUAUGUUACAGGGUAACAUGGAAAAAAGAAGAAGAAGAAGAAGAAGAAAAGUUCUAAACUUACAUCAUCUUCCAAGAAUUCAUCAUCUUCUCAUCAUGUUAAUGAUGAGGAGAAAAAAAUCUCUCAGAAGAUAAAACUCUGAUUCUUGUCUUAAAAUAUUCUAUUUCUCAGUUAUUCUGUCACUUUACAUGGUCGUUUCCUCGGAAGACAUGAGAACGAAAAAAUUGUGACGACUGACAACUCGAAUUGGUUUCAUCUUCUUAUGAUGACGUUUUCGAAAUAAUUUCAACAAAAAAAUGGAGAAAAAUAUGAAGAAAAAAAAAUGAGAAAAACGAUUAAAAAGUUCUGAUGAUGAUUAAGAUGAUUACGAUUAUAACGAUUUACCACCAACCCAGAAUGACUUCAACAACGAUUAUAAUGAAAUGAAAGCGUCAAGACAAUCAACAAAGUUAACGGAUUAAUCAACAGGAUUAGCCAACAAUCAAGAAUAAUCUUAUCCUGGAAAAUGGAGUCAAGCCCAAACACCAUCAACAAUUAACACUAUUAGUUGAUUGUUAAGCAACAAAUCUGAUUACCUAAUAAGAUUUAACUCUAUUAUCCAAUAUAAUUCAUGAUCUACAAUUAACUAACCAACCCAAAAGAGUAAUAAACAAAAUCCAAGGACGGAAAAGGAAUCAUAUUUUACUCUUAGUAGACAUUAACUCUCACCACCUCCUCCCUCCUUCCUCCUUCCUAUUUCCCACCCUCUUCGUGUCUCCACCUCGAAGAAAAACCCAAAGUGUAUCUCCCAUUGAGCUCAAAGGAUCUUCAUCUCAUCCUCCCCACCCUCUCAUCAUCAUCCCACCGAUGAAUCUCAAUCCCUCUGGUUACAUUUUCCCGGAACCAUAAUAAUCAUAAUCCAUAACAAAUCAAUAAUUUAAACGCACAAAUUGUGAUAUAUCUUGAUAACCUUGACGAUUAUCAUCAUUCUGGGAGUGUAACUUUAUCCUCGUAACUAUUAUUUUACUUCAUCAUGAGACAAUUUAACUCUAGAUUCAUGGUGAUAACUCAUGAUAACAAUCAACUUUUUCAUGGUAAUUUAAUGAUCAUACUCAAUGUAACCAUUUGUCCACAUCUAAUGUCCACUCAUUAAAUUGAAAUCCUUUUUUUUUAUCAUAUAUGAAUCAACAUUUCCCUGAACAUUAUAUAUUUAGAUUCAGUUCGUAACUGAAUCUAUGUCACCACAUUUAACGACAAUCUGAUGAUGAUUAGCUGAUUGUUGAUUGGCACUUGAAGGUUAAUUAAAACUGCUUACCAAUGGUAAAUUGUAUUCGAAGCUAAAUUAAUAAGAAAUAAAUACGCAAAUCAUUUCAAUCAUCAUCUUCUCAAUCAAUACGAAUCAUCAUGUCUUCCAAUUGACACAAUUUCUUUGUUUCUACUUAGCAUCCUCAUCUUCAUCUCCAUCAAGGACAUGAGAGCAAAGGAAAUCGUUAAUAUGGUUCAAUCUACGAAAAUAUUAUCGACUCUCCUUUUUGGCCCUUCCACAUCUCGAAAAAUUAUGGUUUAGGUGGUGAUCGUCUUUGGGUAGGGUCAAAGGUGGCGGUGGUUCCAAUACAAUGGGCUUCCUAUUGGCUCCCUCUUGGUCAUCUCCUUUUCUUUGUGGGGUCAUCAUCACGGGUUUUCCUCCUUUUCUCGUGGUUUAUGAUCCAUAGUAAAAAAAGAUGCUUAUUUCGGAAUAUUGUGACUCACUUGAUUUCUUUACAACAAUUUAUUCGUAUCAUCAGUUUACAUCAUCAUCAUCAUCAUCAUUUAAUCCGCUGCUGACCAAUAUCACUUGACCAUUGAAAGUAACUGUUGUAACAAAUCAAUCUCCAUACUAAAUGACCAUUUCAUAACUGUAAAUUUAUGUUAAUUUUAUAAGAAAUGAUUCAUGAAAAAAAUUUUCUAAUACAUUAACAAAAUAUAAUAAUGUUAA